AGUCGAACGAAGCAUUUAGAACAGAUUACUUCGGUUUGAAGUUCUUUAUGACUGAGUGGCGGACGGGUGAGUAACGCGUGGGUAACCUGCCUUGUACUGGGGGAUAGCAGCUGGAAACGGCUGGUAAUACCGCAUAAGCGCACAAUGUUGCAUGACAUGGUGUGAAAAACUCCGGUGGUAUAAGAUGGACCCGCGUCUGAUUAGCUAGUUGGUGAGAUAACAGCCCACCAAGGCGAUGAUCAGUAGCCGACCUGAGAGGGUGACCGGCCACAUUGGGACUGAGACACGGCCCAGACUCCUACGGGAGGCAGCAGUGGGGAAUAUUGCACAAUGGAGGAAACUCUGAUGCAGCGACGCCGCGUGAGUGAAGAAGUAAUUCGUUAUGUAAAGCUCUAUCAGCAGGGAAGAUAGUGACGGUACCUGACUAAGAAGCUCCGGCUAAAUACGUGCCAGCAGCCGCGGUAAUACGUAUGGAGCAAGCGUUAUCCGGAUUUACUGGGUGUAAAGGGAGUGUAGGUGGCCAUGCAAGUCAGAAGUGAAAAUCCGGGGCUCAACCCCGGAACUGCUUUUGAAACUGUAAGGCUAGAGUGCAGGAGGGGUGAGUGGAAUUCCUAGUGUAGCGGUGAAAUGCGUAGAUAUUAGGAGGAACACCAGUGGCGAAGGCGGCUCACUGGACUGUAACUGACACUGAGGCUCGAA
This 699-nucleotide ribosomal RNA is filed under the name uncultured bacterium. RNAcentral describes it as "bacterial SSU rRNA". It matches the Rfam family "Bacterial small subunit ribosomal RNA", at positions 60 to 757 of the family's 1533-position model. The record is from RNAcentral.